RNAcentral lists this long non-coding RNA (2134 nucleotides) under Oryzias sinensis (Chinese medaka). RNAcentral's name for it is "lncRNA (ENSOSIG00000000708.1)". Lineage: Eukaryota; Metazoa; Chordata; Actinopteri; Beloniformes; Adrianichthyidae. The record is from RNAcentral.
AGGAUCCUCAACAUCUGAGUGCUGACAGUAAUGACAGGGAUAGAAGUACCAGAAGUGGGGAUGAACGGCCAAAGAGGGAAAAGGUCAGUUUACUCAAAGUGUUACAAAUAGGCAGAUUGAAGAAAAGCCGCUCCAAGGACAGAGGAGACAGCGAGACGCACAGCAGCUGGGAAAGUUUAAAUGAAAGAGGAGUCCGUAGUCUGUCCCGAAGUGAGGCUGAACGGGGAACAAACCUGAGCGAGGACGAGGGAGGGCAAACCCAGAACCAAGGCGGAGCAAAAGAGGAACCAAAGCUUCAGACAGAGGCUGAAGCUGCUGCCAUAACAACCGAAAAAGUCUCUGGGAAACUGCAGCUACCCCAUCCGUUUGCAUCCAUUUUUUCCAAAGAGAAGGACAAAGGAAACAGGGAUAGGUGCAGGAGUGACGGUGAUGGCAAAGGAGAAGGUAACACCGAGCCGGAAGGCCACGACAACCCAGUGGUUACGACACAGAGCAGCUGGAGAAGUAGUAAAACUCGCAAAGCAAGGCGAAUAACCAGAGGCAGGAAGAUGAAAGCGAGAGGCAGGGACAAGACAGAGACUAGUGAAGAGGAUUCAGAUCAUCAAGACUGUGUAAGGAGGGAACCCAAGGAAAAUCUACAAACAAAAUGCCGGGCGUGCUACCAUCGAAGCUGCUUCCAGGCUGGAAAAGAUUGUCCUCGAUGUCGGCGGCUGGCAGAGCGCAGACAGAGAAUGGCACGGAAGAACAUGGAGGAACAGGAAGAUGAGGGAGGCGGGACUUGAUGCUGGUUAUUUGGUAAUCAAGAAGAGCACGACUGAUUGCGAUGGUACUCCAAAAUCAUCUGUGACGUCGGUGAUGGUGCACAGUGAUAAUAAUUAAGCUCUUAGUGAUCCGACUGUUCAGAUAUACGUAAAGGGUAACAUAAAUUCCGUUUUUUUCCAUUAUUUACUGUAAGACUCCUUAAAAAAUGCACCUUAUUUUGUGAGUUUGGACGUGGAUUUAGACAGCAAAAAAAAAUCCGUUUUUUUUAAUGAAACGUUCGUUCACCAACACAUUACUACUGAGUCUCUCCUUCAAAAAGUAAAAAAAAAAAACUAAUGCAUUUCAGCAAGUGUGUGUCCUCAAAGGAAGCACACAGACCUUCAUUUUUAUUGAUGUAAAUAUGCCGUUGUAAGGUGAAAAUGAAGUUUUUGAAUGUUGAUACCUGCUGCCUCUGAUGUGCUCAGGCUGCUAGAUUCAGCUCUGAUGCUUCUUCCCUCAAACUGCUGGCAGCUGCUUGGACCGCUUAGCUCAGCGAUUAACAGAUGAUGCACCUGCAGUUGCUUUUUGUCAGUUUGAUGGCUGAAUUUAUUUUUUGUUUUACAUUUGAUUAUUCUGUAACACCCAUUGCUUUUCUUUUUUUUUUAAAUCUUUUUUGUUUUUGUUUUAUUCUUUUGUGCCUUGGAGACUAAAUGAGCCGGCGGAGGCUGUGGCGUCUCAGGAAGGAUGAUGCAGAGAUCUGUAAAAUCUGUAGACUCUCAAACAUUCGUUCUGCUCUGGUGGUGGGAUUACUAAACUGAACCAUCGAGUCGACCUGCUGUUGAUGCACAAACGCUUUCAAACCAGCCUAAUUAGCACUUAACUGUUUUGUAACUUGCAAGCUUGUGGACUAACAGGGUGUCCGGUUAAUUGCACUGAUCACGCGUGUGUUUUUGUUUUCGUUGAAGUGAUCAUUUUUCAAAUGUUCGUUUUAAGAACAUUAAAAAAAAUCCUUUUUCAUGAUGAUGCUCUUGUGUAAACCACACUUAUGAGCGCCUAACUUCUAAUUUAAUUUUAGACUUUGAUGGCUUUAAUCUUUAUACAUUUCUUUUCUUCCACUCAUUGGUGUAGUCUCUGCCUUUUUUGGUGGAUGUAUUAAAAUCAUUCUUUUUGAUAUUUCCCCCUGUUUUUGAGACAUAUUUGGGGGGUUAAGUGCCUCGGUGUUGUAGCAAGUGCACAAGAAAAGAAAAUCACAGAAAUGGUGAAAAAAAGUUUGUUUUCUUCCACACUUGGCUAACAAAGCUCUCAGGUUUAUUUGAUCAGAAUAGUUUUCCAGCAGUUGUUGUUCAUCUGUUAGUAAUGUAUUUUGCACUUUCUUGAGGCUGAUUUUAGAGCU